RNAcentral lists this ribosomal RNA (527 nucleotides) under Minettia filia. RNAcentral's name for it is "partial 16S ribosomal RNA". It matches the Rfam family "Bacterial large subunit ribosomal RNA", at positions 1895 to 2620 of the family's 2925-position model. The record is from RNAcentral. Lineage: Eukaryota; Metazoa; Arthropoda; Insecta; Diptera; Lauxaniidae.
UUCCACUGCACGACGAUCUAGCCUGCCCACUGAAUUUUUAAAUGGCCGCAGUAUAUUAACUGUGCAAAGGUAGCAUAAUCAUUAGUCUUUUAAUUGAAGGCUGGAAUGAAUGGUUGGACGAAAUAUUAACUGUUUCAAAUAAAUUUAUUAUAGAAUUUUAUUUUUUAGUCAAAAAGCUAAAAUUUAUUUAAAAGACGAGAAGACCCUAUAAAUCUUAAUAAUUUUCGCUAAAAUAAUAAUAAAGAAUUAUUUUUUUAUUUUAGCGUAAAUUAUUUUAUUGGGGUGAUAUUAAAACUUAAUAAACUUUUAAUUUAUUAAAUCAUUUAUUUAUGAAUAAUUGAUCCAGUUUUACUGAUUAAAAAUUUAAGUUACUUUAGGGAUAACAGCGUAAUUUUUUUGGAGAGUUCAUAUCGAUAAAAAAGAUUGCGACCUCGAUGUUGGAUUAAGAGAUAAAUUUGGGAGUAGUCAUUCAAAUAAUUAAGUCUGUUCGACUUUUAAAUUCUUACGUGAUCUGAGUUCAGACCGGA